This 508-nucleotide ribosomal RNA is filed under the name uncultured bacterium. RNAcentral describes it as "bacterial SSU rRNA". It matches the Rfam family "Bacterial small subunit ribosomal RNA", at positions 17 to 518 of the family's 1533-position model. The record is from RNAcentral.
UCCUGGCUUAGGAUGAACGCUAGCGACAGGCUUAACACAUGCAAGUCGAGGGGCAGCAUAAAAGUAGCAAUACUUGGUGGCGACCGGCGCACGGGUGAGUAACGCGUAUGCAACCUACCUAUCAGAGGGGAAUAACCCGGCGAAAGUCGGACUAAUACCGCAUAAAACAGGGGCACCGCAUGGUGAUAUUUGUUAAAGAAAUUCGCUGAUAGAUGGGCAUGCGUUCCAUUAGGUAGUUGGUGAGGUAACGGCUCACCAAGCCGACGAUGGAUAGGGGAACUGAGAGGUUGGUCCCCCACACUGGUACUGAGACACGGACCAGACUCCUACGGGAGGCAGCAGUGAGGAAUAUUGGUCAAUGGGCGGGAGCCUGAACCAGCCAAGUCGCGUGAAGGAAGAAGGAUCUAUGGUUCGUAAACUUCUUUUGCAGGGGAAUAAAGUGCAGGACGUGUCCUGUUUUGUAUGUACCCUGAGAAUAAGGAUCGGCUAACUCCGUGCCAGCCGCGGC